AUUUGACAUAUAGAGAUCCUUUCAUGUUGGUGAUCAAGGUGAGGGACCUUUUGCUUUUCUCUUCUCUACUUUGGCUUUCAUGAAUGGUUUUGAUAUUGCAAACCUGAAAUGUCUGAGUUUUAGUUUUGAGUCUGGUUGGAGUUUAGUUUUCUUGUAGACUAAAGUGGCCUAGCUUUGUUUGGUGUUGAGGUUUCUAAACUGGUAUAUAUCUAUGUCUAUGUAUGAACCUUGUAUAGAAUUCAGGCAUUUCCUUUAUCUGUGGAACUCUUAAUUGAAAGACUUUAUUUUUGAUAUAUGGUUUGCUUAAUUUGGAUCUCUAAGGUUUUAGAAAAUGAGAGCAAGAAUGUAAUGAUUCUUCUCUGGCUGGUGUAUAAAUCUAGGUACCAAUAUAUUUUUACAUGUUCAAGGGCUAAUUGGAAUUAGUUUAAACCCCAUUUGUUAAUUUCAGAACAUCAAAGUCAGAAUAGAGUAUUUUUGGUGUACAAAGUGGUGAUCAUUCCGGCAACCACAAGCUUUUGAGUGCAGACAAAGUCAUGUGAAUCUUUCUUCCAUGUGGAAACGGUUUCAGUUAUUCCUUGAGCAGUUGCAUAGUGUUCUUCAAGAAAAUGAAGAAUCCAUUAGAGUCAUGAUGAGCUCAUACUUAGGAGCCGUGAUCAAUCAGUAUCCGACUAUGGAAAGUGUACACAAAUAUAAAGGAAGAGGACAUGGCAGAUUGAAGUAAUGCUCGGGAAGAGACGGAUAGUGAGCUCGAGAUCCCUGUCUAUUUUGUACCUUUAUGCAGUCUGCAAAUCUAGAGGAGUUCGAAGAAGAAUUUAAGGGUAUUAACCAAGAAGAGCAGAUCUGCAGACUUCACAAAAUGCUCGCUCCUUACCUUCUUUCAAGUAUAAAUGCAAAACAAUAUUGAGCAUAUGUAAAUGUGCACUGUUUCAGAGUAUGUAAAUGUUCAAUGUUUCUUAAGACUGAAUGUGUGAAAUUUAGCAAGCAAACAAACCCGCAGCAUUGCGCGGGCUAUCUCGCUAGUAAUAGCUAUUUAUUAUGAGAAAAUUACUGUUUAUUU
Molecule: long non-coding RNA, 1057 nt
Organism: Rosa rugosa (rugosa rose)
Lineage: Eukaryota; Viridiplantae; Streptophyta; Magnoliopsida; Rosales; Rosaceae
Exons: 4
Source: RefSeq, a predicted model, not a curated record